UCGGGAAUUUUGGGCAAUGGGCGAAAGCCUGACCCAGCAACGCCGCGUGAAGGAUGAAGUAUUUCGGUAUGUAAACUUCGUAAGAAUAGGAAGAAUAAAUGACGGUACUAUUUGUAAGGUCCGGCUAACUACGUGCCAGCAGCCGCGGUAAUACGUAGGGACCAAGCGUUGUUCGGAUUUACUGGGCAUAAAGGGCGCGUAGGCGGUGUGUCAAGUCAGUUGUGAAAUCUCCGAGCUUAACUCGGAACGGUCAACUGAUACUGUCACACUAGAGUACAGAAGGGGCAAUCGGAAUUCUUGGUGUAGCGGUGAAAUGCGUAGAUAUCAAGAGGAACACCUGAGGCGAAGGCGGGUUGCUGGGCUGAUACUGACGCUGAGGCGCGAAAGCUAGGGUAGCAAACGGGAUUAGAUACCCUUGUAGUCCCUGAGCGGGCUGGCAAGGCGCAU
RNAcentral lists this ribosomal RNA (447 nucleotides) under uncultured bacterium. RNAcentral describes it as "bacterial SSU rRNA". It matches the Rfam family "Bacterial small subunit ribosomal RNA", at positions 355 to 825 of the family's 1533-position model. The record is from RNAcentral.